UGAAUGGACGAGCAAGAAAGAGCGAGCAGGUCCAUUGAUUAGAGGAUGCCUCUGUGGGUCCACCCGAUGAUAAGAACCAGCCAGUGAAGUCCUCCUGCUCUGAGUGAAUCAGCACUCGUCCCGGUCGAUCAGGGUCUGAAUCCCCACAGAGCAGGGUUACUGAAAGAGCCUACAACUACCAACAACACAGGACAUGCUGCAAUUGUUUCCAAAAGAAACAUAGAUGUUUGUUUCU
Long non-coding RNA from Centropristis striata (black sea bass), 235 nucleotides. RefSeq lists it as uncharacterized. The record is from RefSeq and is a predicted model, not a curated record. NCBI's taxonomy places the organism in Eukaryota, Metazoa, Chordata, Actinopteri, Perciformes, Serranidae. The transcript is spliced from 3 exons.